AAUUCUUCCUAAACCUAUCCAGCUUCCACCUGUCUCCUCGAGCGGCGCCAUGGCCCUCGCGUCCUCCUCUCCAUUCCCAGCGCCGCUCCGGCGCACCAUCUCCAUCCGGUCCUCCUCCUCCAUCCCAUCUCGCGGGUGGACACAGAUCGACGCUCACGACUGCCGCAUCGGCGAGCUCGCCGGUGGGAGACUGAUAGAGCAGCGUCGAUCCAACAUGACGCCAUGCGGUGGCCAUCGAUGAGCCACGGAGGGCUGCAGAUCGAUGCCGCCGUGGCUGCGGCUUCCCACCAAGCGAGCUGCGUCUCCACCCGGACUACGGGACGGCUUGCCCAUGGCUUCCUCGCAUGGCCCUGAGAGGCCUCGUCCUCUUGAUGGUUGCCACCGUCCGCAGGAUGCUACUGAUCUCCAUAUUAGUUGAAGCAGAGUUGCAACAGCUCUUCACAUUUGGUUGGUUGUAGGCAAGAUGCAGAGGAUGGAAGCGACACACGACGGCGAUGCAAAAGGCAUGGCGGUUCAGUCCCGGACGUUCACCGCUUGGCUCGGCUUCGACUAGUUGAUCUCCCUGGAGGAGAUUUUGGUGGUGUCCUUAGUUCCCGCAAAGUUCCUAUUGCCGGCUGCUGCGUCCUCCGUGAGGCCGCUUUGCUGCGGGACGGCACGACAUCUAGUCUCCAUCCUUGCGGUCUCCGCCAACAUCCGCGCCGGAAAUAAGGCCACGCCCGUCGAGGCCACGCAGCCGGUGAGACAUCUCAUCAUUCGUCUUCAGCGCUUGUUACAGGACGCUCCACAGGUGUAGAAAGUAAGUUGGCGGCGCUAAUUUACUAGUUCAUGAUUGGAUUCUGCUAGUUGUCGUUUGUAGAAUCAUG
Molecule: long non-coding RNA, 863 nt
Organism: Lolium perenne
Lineage: Eukaryota; Viridiplantae; Streptophyta; Magnoliopsida; Poales; Poaceae
Source: RefSeq, a predicted model, not a curated record